RNAcentral lists this ribosomal RNA (1337 nucleotides) under uncultured bacterium. RNAcentral describes it as "bacterial SSU rRNA". It matches the Rfam family "Bacterial small subunit ribosomal RNA", at positions 28 to 1367 of the family's 1533-position model. The record is from RNAcentral.
GAUGAACGCUGGCGGCGUGCUUAACACAUGCAAGUCGAGCGAAGCACCUUGACGGAUUUCUUCGGAUUGAAGCCUUGGUGACUGAGCGGCGGACGGGUGAGUAACGCGUGGGUAACCUGCCUCAUACAGGGGGAUAACAGUUGGAAACGGCUGCUAAUACCGCAUAAGCGCACAGUAUCGCAUGGUACGGUGUGAAAAACUCCGGUGGUAUGAGAUGGACCCGCGUCUGAUUAGGUAGUUGGUGGGGUAACGGCCUACCAAGCCGACGAUCAGUAGCCGACCUGAGAGGGUGACCGGCCACAUUGGGACUGAGACACGGCCCAAACUCCUACGGGAGGCAGCAGUGGGGAAUAUUGCACAAUGGGGGAAACCCUGAUGCAGCGACGCCGCGUGAGCGAUGAAGUAUUUCGGUAUGUAAAGCUCUAUCAGCAGGGAAGAAAAUGACGGUACCUGACUAAGAAGCCCCGGCUAACUACGUGCCAGCAGCCGCGGUAAUACGUAGGGGGCAAGCGUUAUCCGGAUUUACUGGGUGUAAAGGGAGCGUAGACGGCAUGGCAAGCCAGAUGUGAAAGCCCGGGGCUCAACCCCGGGACUGCAUUUGGAACUGUCAGGCUAGAGUGUCGGAGAGGAAAGCGGAAUUCCUAGUGUAGCGGUGAAAUGCGUAGAUAUUAGGAGGAACACCAGUGGCGAAGGCGGCUUUCUGGACGAUGACUGACGUUGAGGCUCGAAAGCGUGGGGAGCAAACAAAAAUAGAUACCCUGGUAGUCCACGCCGUAAACGAGGAAUACUAGGGUCGGGGGCAAAGCCAUUCGGUGCCGCAGCAAACGCAAUAAGUAUCCCACCCUGGGGAGUACGUUCGCAAGAAUGAAACUCAAAGGAAUUGACGGGGGCCCGCACAAGCGGUGGAGCAUGUGGUUUAAUUUGAAGCAACGCGAAGAACCCUACCUGGUCUUGACAUCCCUCUGACCGCUCUUUAAUCGGAGCUUUCCUUCGGGACAGAGGAGACAGGUGGUGCAUGGUUGUCGUCAGCUCGUGUCGUGAGAUGUUGGGUUAAGUCCCGCAACGAGCGCAACCCCUAUCUUUAGUAGCCAGCAUUUUGGAUGGGCACUCUAGAGAGACUGCCAGGGAUAACCUGGAGGAAGGUGGGGAUGACGUCAAAUCAUCAUGCCCCUUAUGACCAGGGCUACACACGUGCUACAAUGGCGUAAACAAAGGGAAGCGAGCCCGCGAGGGGGAGCAAAUCCCAAAAAUAACGUCUCAGUUCGGAUUGUAGUCUGCAACUCGACUACAUGAAGCUGGAAUCGCUAGUAAUCGCGAAUCAGAAUGUCGCGGUGAAU